CGUCUAUAUACGUAUAGCAUAUCAAUAAGCGGAGGAAAAGAAACUAACUAGGAUUCCCUCAGUAACGGCGAGUGAAGCGGGAAGAGCUCAAAUUUGAAAUCUUCAAGGUUCUACCUUGACGAAUUGUAGUUUAAAGAAGUGUUUUCUGUUGGAGUUUUGGUAAAAGUUCUUUGGAAUAGGACAUCAUAGAGGGUGAGAAUCCCGUAUUUGACCAUUAUUUCCAACUUUGUGAUACACUUUCAAAGAGUCGGAUUGUUUGGGAAUGCAGUCCAAAAUGGGUGGUAAAUUUCAUCUAAAGCUAAAUACUGGCGAGAGACCGAUAGCGAACAAGUACCGUGAGGGAAAGAUGAAAAGAACUUUGAAAAGAGAGUUAAACAGUACGUGAAAUUGUCAAAAGGGAAGCGUUUGACACCAGUGUUGUUUUCUCGAAAAUCAAUUAAAAAUGGACUGGGAUUUUGUGUUGUAUUGACCUUAUCAGCUUUCUGCACUCUUUUCUAUGUAUUUUUUAAUGCACUUUUCGUUUAACAAGUCAACAUCAAUUUCUUUUGUUGUAAAAGGGUCAUUGGAAGGUGGCUUUCUUUUCGGAGAAAGUGUUUAUAGCCUUUGCCUUCUGCAAUCGGAGAGAUUGAGGUCUGCAGCGUAGAUCCUUCGGGGUUAGAUGCAUUUGUGCUAAGUUAUAGCCUUUCAUAGACAACUUGUUGACUAUGAUCAGUCAUGUAGCUUAGCUCGCUUAUGUCAUUUUACCUACGCUUAGGAUGUUGACGAUCAGCUGAGCGCG
Molecule: ribosomal RNA, 778 nt
Filed under: uncultured Neocallimastigales
Lineage: Eukaryota; Fungi; Neocallimastigomycota; Neocallimastigomycetes; Neocallimastigales
Description: partial large subunit ribosomal RNA
Rfam family: Eukaryotic large subunit ribosomal RNA
Source: RNAcentral